AACGAACGCUGGCGGCAGGCUUAACACAUGCAAGUCGAGCGAAGACUUCGGUCUUAGCGGCGGACGGGUGAGUAACGCGUGGGAACGUGCCUUUCACUACGGAAUAGUCCCGGGAAACUGGGUUUAAUACCGUAUACGCCCUUCGGGGAAAGAAUUUCGGUGAGAGAUCGGCCCGCGUCUGAUUAGGUAGUUGGUGGGGUAAUGGCCUACCAAGCCGACGAUCCAUAGCUGGUUUGAGAGGAUGAUCAGCCACACUGGGACUGAGACACGGCCCAGACUCCUACGGGAGGCAGCAGUGGGGAAUAUUGCACAAUGGAGGAAACUCUGAUGCAGCAAUGCCGCGUGAGUGAA
RNAcentral lists this ribosomal RNA (351 nucleotides) under uncultured bacterium. RNAcentral describes it as "bacterial SSU rRNA". It matches the Rfam family "Bacterial small subunit ribosomal RNA", at positions 29 to 409 of the family's 1533-position model. The record is from RNAcentral.